This is a long non-coding RNA of Aphidius gifuensis, 943 nucleotides long. RefSeq lists it as uncharacterized. NCBI's taxonomy places the organism in Eukaryota, Metazoa, Arthropoda, Insecta, Hymenoptera, Braconidae. The transcript is spliced from 3 exons. The record is from RefSeq and is a predicted model, not a curated record.
AUUAAUUUAUUAUAAAUAAUAUUAACAUUAAAUAUUAUUUAUUUGAUGUCAAAAAAAUAUGAAUAAUUAAAUUAUGUUAACAAAAAUUCAAUCGUAGUGUCAACUGAAAAAUUUAUGAAUAAAAAAACACAGUGAAAAAGUUGAUGGGUAUGUCAUAUUCAAUCCAGAGAGACUUGAUUAUUGUAAAGAGGAAAAGUGAGGUUAAACCCAGAGUUGACAGCCUACGUUUUUGUUGUUGAUAUGUCAUAUAUGUUUGGAAACAUUUUAAUGUUGUUGCAAAUCCUGAAUGCAAAUACAAGACAGGAAGUUUUAAAUAUUGUGGAAAAAAAUAUGUUCCAAAUGCUGGUAGAAUGAUGAAGCAUCUUGCUCAAGAAUGUCAAAAUUGUGAUGAUGAAAUUUAAACAAAUUUUAUGGAAAUAAUUGUGCAAAAAAAAUAAACUUGAUGUCAGACAAUCAUCUGAGCAAGUUGUAGCACUAAUUACAAAGAACAAAACAACUUAAAACAAAGGCUCAAUUGACAGGUUUAUUGAUACUAAAAUGUCCAAAGAAAAUCAUGAUAAAUUGAAUGCUUCUUGUGCACGAGCAAUAUAUGCCAGAGCUUUAAUUAACAUUAUUGUAUUCAAAAAAGGGUUACAAGUAUUAAAUUGUAAAGUUCAAAGUACACCAAAAAUUAAUCAUAAAAUUUAAAAACAUAUCUAGUUUUUAGUUGAGUUUGUCCUUUUUUUUUUUCUUUUUUUUCUCAUCAAAAAAUUGCUUAUUUUUUUGUUUUUUCCUUUUAAUUUAUUUUUUUUAAGGACAAAUUGCAAGUGCAAAAUAUUGACAAACUAAUGUCACAAUGAAAAUAGAAAGCUUUAUUAGUUUUCAACAAGUUCAUGGUAUAAAAAAAUAUAAAAAACGUUAACAUAUGGUAUAUUUCUAAAUUUGUAUUAUUCUACUUGUUACA